Molecule: long non-coding RNA, 773 nt
Organism: Carassius gibelio (silver crucian carp)
Lineage: Eukaryota; Metazoa; Chordata; Actinopteri; Cypriniformes; Cyprinidae
Exons: 3
Source: RefSeq, a predicted model, not a curated record
UUAAGUGUGGGUUGUUGCUCACAUAAAGCCUUUCUAUAGUUACAAAGCGUUGAAUAUAUUGCACGACACACACACGCCAAUUUAGAGUGUUUUACAAAAACAAAAAUAGUACUAGUUUGACGCAUCAUGACGAGGGACUCGGUAAUGACAGGAUUUUCUUGGAGGACUGUCGCUUUAAGAGCGUUGCACACCUGACUCCCAGAAACAGGUGGGAAAUAUUGUGAUAAAGGAGUAAUAUGAUCAGAGUUCGUUUGUUUGUUAGUUACCCAUCUGGUACCUAAACAUUUGAGAAAAAAAAAAAAAAAAAAAAGUUGAAAAGUUACUUUUCUUUCCAAGGUCGCGACACACAAUGUAAACCUAGCGAGACUGAUAACUAAUCACCGUCACGGGACUCCAGAAGCGCACCGUGAUGCCCAACACACUGAACGCACCUAUUCUGAGACAUUAGACAAACCAACAAUUCAUCUUUUGAGCUACAAAAUGCUUCUACAAUACGAGUACAAUGCGCUCGCAUUCAGGGAUGAAAGGUUUCUGCUGUAAAACUGGAUGUGAAAAAAGCUGAGACGUGGCCUUUAAGAGUGAUUGGCAGGCGGUGGGCGGGGCUACCAGUGAGCAGCCUUCUGCAAGAUGACCCCAAGAAGGACUUCUCGGAGUGGACGCUUUGUCUAUUCCUUUGUGUUAGGAAUAAUAGCAAGCUCAAUAAACUGUGAAGGAUAUGUAAUAGUCUCCACCGGAUAGUUGAUCUGGGCGCUGAUCUGGAAGGGAGAAUUCGC